GAUGAACGCUAGCGGGAGGCUUAACACAUGCAAGUCGAGGGGUAAAUGGUAGCAAUACUAUGAGACCGGCGAACGGGUGCGUAACGCGUAUGCAACUUACCUUAUGCAGGGGGAUAGCCCGUGGAAACGCGGAUUAAUAUCCCAUAGAUCAGUAAUAUCGCAUGGGUAUAACUGGUAAAACUCAGGUGGCAUAAGAUGGGCAUGCGUCUGAUUAGCUAGUUGGUAGGGUAACGGCCUACCAAGGCGACGAUCAGUAGGGGUUCUGAGAGGAUUAACCCCCANACUGGUACUGAGACACGGACCAGACUCCUACGGGAGGCAGCAGUGAGGAAUAUUGGUCAAUGGGCGCAAGCCUGAACCAGCCAUCCCGCGUGAAGGAAGAAGGCCCUACGGGUUGUAAACUUCUUUUCNGUUUGAAGAAUAAGCUCGUCGAGACGAGUG
This 441-nucleotide ribosomal RNA is filed under the name uncultured bacterium. RNAcentral's name for it is "bacterial SSU rRNA". It matches the Rfam family "Bacterial small subunit ribosomal RNA", at positions 28 to 468 of the family's 1533-position model. The record is from RNAcentral.